RNAcentral lists this long non-coding RNA (1418 nucleotides) under Sus scrofa (pig). RNAcentral's name for it is "lncRNA (ENSSSCG00005012653.1)". The record is from RNAcentral. Lineage: Eukaryota; Metazoa; Chordata; Mammalia; Artiodactyla; Suidae.
AAUCCAAAGGCAAAUUCUUAGUUCUCAUUUUAGGCAGUACUUGACAUCUUGACCACUUCCACAUUUUGAAACACUGUCUUCUCUAAGCUUCCAGAACACCUCACUCACUGGUUUCCUCUUACUUAACUGGCAUCUCUUCAGUCUACUUUGCUUUAUCUUCUUCCUCUGACUUCUAAAUAUUAGAGAUGCUCACAUCUUAGUCCCAUGUUUUUUUUCUAUCUCUAUUCUCCCUAAAUGGUUUCAUCCAAUCCCAUGGCUGUAAAUAUUAUCUUUGUUUUGAUAAGUCCCAAGAUUAUAAUUCUAACCCUAACUUUUUGAACACUAGACUGAAUAUUCUUUUUGCAUUCUUAUGGAAAACUUAAGGUACAUAAAAAUAAUAUAUUGAACCUCAAUAAGUUUUUCACUCAAGCAUCAACAGUUACUAAAUUAAUAAUAGAUUAAUUAUUCUUAAUAUGGUAGGUGAUUAUUUUUCAUUUUUGAAGUUGACAUAUUCAUAGACCUUUAUUCCAUAUAUUUUGUGUUUUGCUCAAUUAUUUAACUUUUUAUUGGGACUGAUUGUGGAGGUUAUUUUGGGAAGCUUUUGUAUCUUUAUUCAUUAUUGUACGAGUCUGCAUCAAAUCAGUUGCAGGAAAUAGAUCUGGCUCUUUUAAAUAUAUGGAGAUUUAAUGUAGGGAAUUGGUAUUUAGAAAAUUGUUUAAAGUGGUGGAGGAGUAGGCUUUAGCCUAGACUUUCAGAAAUGAGUCCCAGGAUAAUACUACUAAGUUGGGCUGUUAAGGGAACUACUACCACUGUCCCCAUCCAUCAGGAUGAUGGAGAAUCAAAACCACAACUGGGGAGUUCCUGUCAUGGCUCAGUGAUUAACGAAUCUGACUAGGAACCAUGAGGUUGCGAGUUCGAUCCCUGGCCUCACUUAGUGGGUUAAGGAUCCAGCAUUGCGGUGAACUGUGGUAUAGGUCGCAGAUGUGGCUCGGAUCUGGCAUUGCUGUGGCUGUGGUAUAGGCCGAUGGCUAUAGCUCUGAUUAGACCCCAAACCUGGGAAUCUCCAUAUGCCUUGGGUGUGACCCUCAAAAGACAAAAAGACCAAAAAAAAAAAAAAGAAAAAGAAGAAAGAAAAAAGAGACCUAAAAACAUAUAUUAAAAAAAGGUAGGAGUUCCCGUCGUGGCGCAGGGGUUAACGAAUCCGGCUAGGAACCAUGAGGUUUCGGGUUUGGUCCCUGCCCUUGCUCAGUGGGUUAACGAUCCGGCGUUGCCCUGAGCUGUGGUGUAGGUUGCAGAUGCGGCUUGGAUCCCGCGUUGCUGUGUCUCUGGCAUAGGCCGGUGGCUGCAGCUCCGAUUCAACCCCUAGCCUGGGAACCUCCAUAUGCCGUGGGAAUGGCCCCAAAAAAUAGCAAAAAGACAAAAAAAGAAAAAAAAAAAAA